RNAcentral lists this ribosomal RNA (460 nucleotides) under uncultured bacterium. Its description in RNAcentral is "partial 16S ribosomal RNA". It matches the Rfam family "Bacterial small subunit ribosomal RNA", at positions 338 to 795 of the family's 1533-position model. The record is from RNAcentral.
CCUACGGGAGGCUGCAGUGAGGAAUAUUGGUCAAUGGACGAGAGUCUGAACCAGCCAAGUAGCGUGAAGGAUGACUGCCCUAUGGGUUGUAAACUUCUUUUAUAUGGGAAUAAAACGUUCCACGUGUGGGAUUUUGUAUGUACCAUAUGAAUAAGGAUCGGCUAACUCCGUGCCAGCAGCCGCGGUAAUACGGAGGGUCCGAGCGUUAUCCGGAUUUAUUGGGUUUAAAGGGAGCGUAGGUGGAUUGUUAAGUCAGUUGUGAAAGUUUGCGGCUCAACCGUAAAAUUGCAGUUGAAACUGGCAGUCUUGAGUACAGUAGAGGUGGGCGGAAUUCGUGGUGUAGCGGUGAAAUGCUUAGAUAUCACGAAGAACUCCGAUUGCGAAGGCAGUUCACUGGACUGCAACUGACACUGAGGCUCGAAAGUGUGGGUAUCAAACAGGAUUAGAUACCCGUGUAGUC